GAUGUUGUAGUGGAGGUUAGGACUGGUAACAGGGAUGUUGUAGUGUUGGUGGAGGUUAGGACUGGUAACAGGGAUGUUGUAGUGGAGGUUAGGACUGGUAACAGGGAUGUUGUAGUGUUGGUGGAGGUUAGGACUGGUAACAGGGAUGUUGUAGUGGAGGUUAGGACUAGUAACAGGGAUGUUGUAGUGGAGGUUAGGACUAGUAACAGGGAUGUUGUAGUGUUGUUGGAGGUUAGGACUUGUAACAGGGAUGUUGUAGUGUUGUUGGAGGUUAGGACAAGUAACAGGGAUGUUGUAGUGUUGGUGGAGGUUAGAAUUAGUAACAGGGAUGUUGUAGUGGAGGUUAGGACUGGUAACAGGGAUGUUGUAGUGGAGGUUAGGACAAGUAACAGGGAUGUUGUAGUGUUGUUGGAGGUUAGGACUAGUAACAGGGAUGUUGUUGGAGGUUAGGAGGAGUAACAGGGAUGUUGUAGUGUUGGUGGAGGUUAGGACUAGUAACAGGGAUGUUGUAGUGUUGGUGGAGGUUAG
Oncorhynchus tshawytscha (Chinook salmon) is the source of this 528-nucleotide long non-coding RNA. NCBI's taxonomy places the organism in Eukaryota, Metazoa, Chordata, Actinopteri, Salmoniformes, Salmonidae. The record is from Ensembl.